GGUUGAUCCUGCCAGUAGUCAUAUGCUUGUCUCAACGAUACAGUCGUUCAAUAUUGGGUGCGAAUGAAGGGACAUAAGAAUCGAUACAAUCAUAUAGUCGAUUAGUCUGAUAUCCUUCCUCAUAUAAUGCUUAUUAUAUAGAGGUAGAUAGAUAGAGGGCGACACUUUUCAAUUGCGGGGACAUCUUUAAUGUGCUUCGAUAAUAGCGCUCUACCAAGCAGGCAAGUAAUAGCUUGUGGCCAUAGCUUAAUAUUCGCUAUGGGUAU
This 266-nucleotide ribosomal RNA is filed under the name uncultured eukaryote. Its description in RNAcentral is "partial 18S ribosomal RNA". The record is from RNAcentral.